RNAcentral lists this long non-coding RNA (4333 nucleotides) under Homo sapiens (human). Its description in RNAcentral is "HSALNT0341171". Lineage: Eukaryota; Metazoa; Chordata; Mammalia; Primates; Hominidae. The record is from RNAcentral.
CACGGGUUCAAGCGAUUCUCCUGCCUCAGCCUCAUGAGUAGCUGGGAUUACAGUGGCAGGAGCAUCCCUGCGAGAGGCCUGACCCAGGUGUGUAGCCCAAGCAGCCAGCCCGGAAAUCCAAUGGGGUGUUCUUGGGGUGCAGAGGAUUUGUGACAGUCCAUACACAGAAAAAGGAAAAGGUGGCUUUGAAGAGGCAAGUGCAAAGAUACCAGAGAUGGGGUAUUGUCAUUUUAGGCAGUGAAUUGACGGUUUCACUUACCAGGGAGCUCCCAUCGUGAGCUCCCAAAAGGCCUAACAACUGCUAGGCCCACGGGUCAUUAGCUCCACCUUUACGGAGAAGCUGCACUAUGCAUGUCAGAAGCGGGGUAGGCAGGGAUGAGGGAAAGGACGGGAUAAGGAAAGAAAAGAUGUGCGCUGAGCUGAGCUGCGGGAGGGUAAACCUAACUACGUAACAAUGAGCAGGCUGUGAGAGGCUCCUUGCCCCUUGCAGAUUUGUGAAAAAUCAAACUUCCGCCCAAGAAGCCGGCAUUUCAGGUAGGGGCGAUGAUGUCACAAUCACAGGUUGAGAUCUGCUGCCCAGGCCAUGCUUGCUCCCCGCAGGCAGGCGAGAUUUCGGAACAGCCAGGACCUCCUCCGCAUGGGGGAACCGCUCUAGACGCUCAGAGGGGCGGAGUUGAAACGGACCUGACUGGCCAGUGUCUCAAAGACGUGGAUGGUGACCAGCUCUCUCCAGAACAGAUGGCGCUCCAGCUUUGUGGGAGAAACUUUCAAGGUGUGGAUCACUUGGAAGUCAUUUGAAACCUAUGAAGUUUAACAUCUCUGCUUUGGAUGGAAUGCUCAUCACCUACAGCAGUCAGGGAUGUAACUAAACUUGCUGGGACUGAUGUGUUGAAAUUUUUUGUCUAGAUAGUGGAAACAUCCAGGAGCACUUCUGCUUCCAUGUAGCCUCUUAAUAAUUGAUGUCCCUAAAAUCCUAUGUCCUCAGAAACAGAUACUUUCAGCCAGGGCAGUGGCUCAGGCCUGUAAUCCCAGCACUUCGGGAGGCCAAGACAGAGUCUUGCUCGUGUUGCCCAGGCUGGAGUGCAGUGGCACGACUGCAGCUCACUGCGACCACUGCCUCCCAGUAGAGACAGGGUUUCACCAUAUUAUCCAGGCUGGUCUUGAACUCCUGACCUCAGGCGAUCCAUCUUCCUCAGCUCUGAGCUACCACACCCAGCCGAGAUGGAGUCUUGCUCUGUUGCCCAGGCUGGAAUGCAAUGAUGCAAUCUCAGCUCACUGCAACCUCCAUCUCCCAGAUUCAAGUGGUUCUCCUGCCUCAGCCUCCCAAGUAGUUGGGACUACAGGUGCUGCCUUCAGGAGGGAUUAUGACAUAUGCCUGGACCAAACACCUGGAUGACGUGACACUCCUGCAUGAGCCUUGCCCUAAGGGGAUAUUUUUACAUGUUGGUGAACUCAGCAUCUAGGUGAUGUGACUCUACUCUUCUGCCUGGGCCCUGCCCACAGAGGGCAUUGGAACAUUUCACUUGGCUCAGCACCAAGAAGAUGUUACUCUCCUACCUGGACCUCUCCCACAGGGGACACCUAGAUGAUAUGAUUUUUCUUCCUGGUUCCUGCCCAGACUUCAAAUUGUGAUGUAUAUCUGGGCCCAAAACACAGGUAAGGUAAUAACUCUCAUAGCUAGACCAAGACAAUAGAGAGAUUUUGACUUUUGUAGCUAGGCUUAGAACAAUGGGUACAUAUUCCUGGCCCAGCUCCCAGGUGAUAUGACCCUCCUACCUAGUUAGUGCUCACAGGUGUGAUUGUUACCUAUGUUUGGACUCAGUUCAUUGUGAGCAUUGUGAUCACUCAUACCUGGACCUAGCCACAAAAAAAUAUGUUGACUCUUAUACCUCAAAAUAGGAGACUCAACCCACAAGAGGUGUUGACUCUUACACCUUUUGCUGGAAAAUGUCCAGGAUUGUGAAUUUCUGCUAUUGAUUGGGUCCAGGUAUGAGUUUCAUUGCUGUGCCUGAGCUGAGUUCAAAAUAAGUCACUAUCUCACCUGUGGCUGCAUCUACAUAUGACAGUCACAAUUCCAAGUCUGGAUUGCAUUUGUGUAUGAGACUUAGGACCUCACCAGUAAGCACUGUCUAUGUGUGAGGGUGACAAUUCUAUCAGCUGGAAGUGCAUAUGAGAGUCACAAUGUCACCUUUGUUCUUGGUCCUGUUAUGACAUUGUAUCACUUGAAGGCUUUAUCCAGACCCAGGACCUUGCCUGUUGCCCUAAGCCUAGAUAUCAGAGUCAAAAUCUGUUCUCUUAGCUGGAUCCAGGUAUGAGAGUCAACAUCUCACCAGUGAGCUGUGACCAUGUAUAUGUCACAAUUUCACCUGUGGGCAGGAACCAGACAUGAGAGUCAUAUCACUUGGGUGCUGGGUAAGUGAUACAUUACAAUUCUUACUUUGGGCAGGGUCCAGGCAACAGAGGAGAGACACAUCACCUAUAUGAUUGGCCCAGCGAUGGGUGAAAAUCCUCUCUGAGAGCAGGGCCCAUUCAGGAGAGUCAUAUCACCUAGCUGCUUGGCCAAGUGAAAUAUCACAAUGCACCCUUUGCACAGGGCCAAUACAGGACAGUUACAUCACCAGGGAGCUGGGUCCAGCUAUAUGUCACAAUUCCUUUUGUGGAAAGUGUCCAGGCAGAAAAGCAGAGUCACAUCACCUAGCCAGUGGGCCCAGAGAGAUGCCACAAUGCCAUUUGUAGGCUGGGCCCUGGGAGAAGAAUAACAUCACCCAGUUCUGGGCCCAGCAAUAUGUUGUGAUCCCAACUGGAAAAAGUUUCCAGACAAGAGAGGAGAAUCACAUCAUCAUGAUGAUAAGCCAAGAGAUUUCACAAUCCCCCCCUCUGCACAUGUCCCAGGCAGAAGACCUGAAUUACCUUUUUACUUAGGCCAGUAAUGUCACAGUGCUUCCUCAGGGCAGGGCACAAACAAGAUAGGACAGUCACAUCAUUAAGUGCUAGACUUAAUGCUAGAUAUGUCAUAACCUUACUUGUGGGCAGGAUCCAGGAAGGAGAGAUUUAUGUCACCUAGGUGCUCAGUAAAGAGAUAUAUUACAAUUACAAUUCCUUUGAGGGAAGUGGCCAGGCAAAAUAGUCACAUCACCUAGGUGCUUGGCCCAGGUAUAAGUCACAAGAUAUCUGUGUGUUGAGCCCAGAAGGACUAUCAAAUUACGAAGUUUCUACGUAGAAGUGCAUGUCACAGACACCUGCAGGAAGGCCCAGGAAUGAGACUCCCAAUUCCACACAUUUUCCCACUCCAAGUGUAAGAGUCAACAACUCCUGAGACUUAGGCCCAAGUACAUGAGUCACAAUCUCAACAGUGGAUUGCAUCCUGCCAUGAGAGCCCCAAUCCCUUCUCUAAGCUGUGUUCCAGUAGAGGAGUCACAACAUCAAUGGUGUGCUGAAUCCUGGUUGGAGAGUUCCCACUUCACCUGUGGACUGGAUCUGUAUAUGAGAGUCUCAAUUCCAGCUCUCAACUGCCCCUGGGUGUGAGAUUCAGGACCUCAAUUGUGAGCUGUGUACACAUGGACAUGUAACAAUUUCUACUUUUGGCUGUGUGUUCAUACAAGACUCAAUCUCAUCUGUGUUCUCGGCCCUGUUAUGACACUCUUUGUACCACCCAUGGGAUUUAUUCAAUACGCAUGGGUGUCAUAAUCCUCUGUGAUCUUCAUACAAGUAGAAGACCCAGGACCUUACCCAUGGCCCUAGGCCUAUCUAUGAGAAUUGACAUUUUUCCUCACAUUUUUAAUUUUAACAAAUAAGUUAUUCUCCUGUCAGUUCAGAUUCAUCAGGACAUUGAAUCAUAUUCAGAAGAAUUAAAACUGAAAGACUAAUAGGUUUGUUAAAGCAAUGCAGGUUGUCAUACUAAUAAACCCUAAAAUUUCAAAGGCUUAGCAAAAUAAUACAUUUUCUGCUUACAUCACCAUCCCCUUUGGCUUAUUUCUGGUUAAGAGAACUUCUUUGUGAUUAUUCGGAGAUUAGAUUUUUUUAAAAUUUCCUAUCUGCACUCUCUCUUUCUUCAGCCAAUAGAUGAAAAAAGAUGCAAAGAAGACACAUUUGCUUUUUAUGCACACAUCACUUCCAGUCACUAUGUUGAGCAGAGUCAGUGUGAGGACAAUUGAGAAUAGCAGUUUUCUGGCAGGACAGCCACUUCUCAGCAGAAGAUGACACAAUAAAAGUAUAAAUCUUUCAUGGGAGGCUCACAUAUUUUCAGCAAAUUAAGCAUAUGCAUGAAUAAAAUUCUUGUGGUAAAAUAAAGAUGCAUUUUGUUGAUUCCUAUGGAGCUCAGGUAAUAUUGGAU